Molecule: ribosomal RNA, 460 nt
Filed under: uncultured bacterium
Lineage: Bacteria
Description: partial 16S ribosomal RNA
Rfam family: Bacterial small subunit ribosomal RNA
Source: RNAcentral
CCUACGGGAGGCUGCAGUGAGGAAUAUUGGUCAAUGGGCGCGAGCCUGAACCAGCCAAGUAGCGUGAAGGAUGACUGCCCUACGGGUUGUAAACUUCUUUUAUAAAGGAAUAAAGUGAGGCACGUGUGCCUUUUUGUAUGUACUUUAUGAAUAAGGAUCGGCUAACUCCGUGCCAGCAGCCGCGGUAAUCCGGAGGAGCCGAGCGUUAUUCGGAUUUAUGGGGUUUAAAGGGAGCGUAGAUGGGUUGUUAAGGACGUUGUGAAAGUUGGCGGCUCAACCGUAAAAUUGCAAUUGAUACUGCAUUGCUGGAAGGCGGAAGCGGUGGGAGGAAUGUGUGGUGUAGGGGUGAAAUGCAUAGAUAUCAGACAGAACACCGAUUGCGAAGGCAUCUCACGAAUCCGCGAUUGACGCUGAUGCACGAAAGCGUGGGUAUCAAACAGGAUUAGAUACCCGAGUAGUC